UACGUAGGGGGCUAGCGUUGUUCGGAAUUAUUGGGCGUAAAGCGCACGUAGGCGGCUCCUUAAGUCAGGGGUGAAAUCCCGAGGCUCAACCUCGGAACUGCCUUUGAUACUGGGGAUAUCGAGUCCGGGAGAGGUGAGUGGAACUGCGAGUGUAGAGGUGAAAUUCGUAGAUAUUCGCAAGAACACCAGUGGCGAAGGCGGCUCACUGGCCCGGUACUGACGCUGAGGUGCGAAAGCGUGGGGAGCAAACAGG
Molecule: ribosomal RNA, 253 nt
Filed under: uncultured bacterium
Lineage: Bacteria
Description: partial 16S ribosomal RNA
Rfam family: Bacterial small subunit ribosomal RNA
Source: RNAcentral